This 76-nucleotide transfer RNA is filed under the name Candidatus Latescibacteria bacterium ADurb.Bin168. RNAcentral describes it as "tRNA-Arg". It matches the Rfam family "tRNA". Rfam says of the family: Transfer RNA (tRNA) molecules are approximately 80 nucleotides in length. The record is from RNAcentral. Lineage: Bacteria; Pseudomonadati; Candidatus Latescibacterota.
UCCCCGGAUAGCUCAACAGGAUAGAGCAAGUGCCUUCUAAGCACUAGGUCGCAGGUUCGAGUCCUGCUCCGGGGAU